Molecule: ribosomal RNA, 504 nt
Filed under: uncultured bacterium
Lineage: Bacteria
Description: partial 16S ribosomal RNA
Rfam family: Bacterial small subunit ribosomal RNA
Source: RNAcentral
AUUGAACGCUGGCGGCAGGCCUAACACAUGCAAGUCGAACGGUAGCACAGAGAGCUUGCUCUCGGGUGACGAGUGGCGGACGGGUUAGUAAUGUCUGAGAAACUGCCCGAUGGAGGGGGAGAACUAAUGGAAACGGUACGUAAUACCGCCUAACGUCGCAAGACCAAAGUGGGGGACCUUCGGGCCUCACACCAUCGGAUGUGCCCAGAUGGGAUUAGCUAGUAGGUGGGGUAAUGGCUCACCUAGGCGACGAUACCCAGCUGGUCUGAGAGGAUGACCAGCCACACUGGAGCUGAGACACGGUCCAGACUCCUACGGGAGGCAGCAGUGGGGAAUAUUGCACAAUGGGCGCAAGCCUGAUGCAGCCAUGCCGCGUGGAUGAAGAAGGCCUUCGGGUUGUAAAGUACUUUCAGCGGGGAGGAAGGCGGUGGAGUUAAUAACUUCACCGAUUGACGUUACCCGCAGAAGAAGCACCGGCUAACUCCGUGCCAGCCGCCGCAGUAA